AGAGUUUGAUCCUGGCUCAGGAUGAACGCUAGCUACAGGCUUAACACAUGCAAGUCGAGGGGCAGCAUGAAAGUUUGCUUGCAAACUUUUGAUGGCGACCGGCGCACGGGUGAGUAACACGUAUCCAACCUGCCUCAUACUCGGGGAUAGCCUUUCGAAAGAAAGAUUAAUACCCGAUGUCAUAGUCCUACCGCAUGAUGGGAUUAUUAAAGAAUUUCGGUAUGGGAUGGGGAUGCGUUCCAUUAGUUAGUUGGCGGGGUAACGGCCCACCAAGACAACGAUGGAUAGGGGUUCUGAGAGGAAGGUCCCCCACAUUGGAACUGAGACACGGUCCAAACUCCUACGGGAGGCAGCAGUGAGGAAUAUUGGUCAAUGGACGAGAGUCUGAACCAGCCAAGUAGCGUGAAGGAUGACUGCCCUAUGGGUUGUAAACUUCUUUUAUAUGGGAAUAAAAUGUUCCACGUGUGGGAUUUUGUAUGUACCAUAUGAAUAAGGAUCGGCUAACUCCGUGCCAGCAGCCGCGGUAAUACGGAGGAUCCGAGCGUUAUCCGGAUUUAUUGGGUUUAAAGGGAGCGUAGGUGGAUUGUUAAGUCAGUUGUGAAAGUUUGCGGCUCAACCGUAAAACUGCAGUUGAAACUGGCAGUCUUGAGUACAGUAGAGGUGAGCGGAAUUUCGUGGUGUAGCGGUGAAAUGCUUAGAUAUCACGAAGAACUCCGAUUGCGAAGGCAGCUCACUGGACUGCAACUGACACUGAGGCUCGAAAGUGUGGGUAUCAAACAGGAUUAGAUACCCUGGUAGUCCACACAGUAAACGAUGAAUACUCGCUGUUUGCGAUAUACGGCAAGCGGCCAAGCGAAAGCAUUAAGUAUUCCACCUGGGGAGUACGCCGGCAACGGUGAAACUCAAAGGAAUUGACGGGGGCCCGCACAAGCGGAGGAACAUGUGGUUUAAUUCGAUGAUACGCGAGGAACCUUACCCGGGCUUAAAUUGCACCUGAAUAAUGUGGAAACAUGUUAGCCGUAAGGCAGGUGUGAAGGUGCUGCAUGGUUGUCGUCAGCUCGUGCCGUGAGGUGUCGGCUUAAGUGCCAUAACGAGCGCAACCCUUAUCUUCAGUUACUAACAGGUCAUGCUGAGGACUCUGGAGAGACUGCCGUCGUAAGAUGUGAGGAAGGUGGGGAUGACGUCAAAUCAGCACGGCCCUUACGUCCGGGGCUACACACGUGUUACAAUGGGAGGUACAGAAGGCCGCUACCUGGCGACAGGAUGCCAAUCCCCAAAACCUCUCUCAGUUCGGAUCGAAGUCUGCAACCCGACUUCGUGAAGCUGGAUUCGCUAGUAAUCGCGCAUCAGCCAUGGCGCGGUGAAUACGUUCCCGGGCCUUGCACUCACCGCCCGUCAAG
Molecule: ribosomal RNA, 1400 nt
Filed under: uncultured bacterium
Lineage: Bacteria
Description: bacterial SSU rRNA
Rfam family: Bacterial small subunit ribosomal RNA
Source: RNAcentral